Molecule: ribosomal RNA, 524 nt
Filed under: uncultured bacterium
Lineage: Bacteria
Description: partial 16S ribosomal RNA
Rfam family: Bacterial small subunit ribosomal RNA
Source: RNAcentral
GACGAACGCUGGCGGCGUGCUUAACACAUGCAAGUCGAACGGACAGACAGAGAGCUUGCUCUCUUGAAGUUAGUGGCGAACGGGUGAGUAACGCGUAAUCAACCUGCCCUUCAGAGGGGGAUAACAACGGGAAACCGUUGCUAAUACCGCGUACGAUUCAUGAACGGCAUCGUUUAUGAAUGAAAGGUGGCCUCUAUGUAUAAGCUAUCGCUGAAGGAGGGGAUUGCGUCUGAUUAGCUAGUUGGAGGGGUAACGGGCCACCAAGGCAAUGAUAAGUAGCGAAUCUGAGAGGAGGACAGGCAACAUUGGGACUGAGACAAGGCCCAAACGCCUACGGGAGGCAGCAGUGGGGAAUCUUCCGCAAUGGACGAAGGUCUGACGGAGCAACGCAGAGGGAGUGAUGAAGGUCUGCGGAUUGUAAAGCUCUGUUAAUCGGGACGAAAGAGUUCUGCGUGAAUAAUGCAGAAAAGUGACGGUACCGGAAUAGAAAGCCACGGCUAACUACGUGCCAGCAGCCGCCGUAA